GGAGAUGUAGCUCUGUUGUAGAGUGCGUGCUUAGCAUGUAUGAGGUCCUGGAUUCAAUUCCCAGUACCUCCA
This 72-nucleotide transfer RNA is filed under the name Camelus bactrianus (Bactrian camel). It matches the Rfam family "tRNA". Rfam says of the family: Transfer RNA (tRNA) molecules are approximately 80 nucleotides in length. Their secondary structure includes four short double-helical elements and three loops (D, anti-codon, and T loops). Further hydrogen bonds mediate the characteristic L-shaped molecular structure. tRNAs have two regions of fundamental functional importance: the anti-codon, which is responsible for specific mRNA codon recognition, and the 3' end, to which the tRNAs corresponding amino acid is attached (by aminoacyl-tRNA synthetases). tRNAs cope with the degeneracy of the genetic code in two manners: having more than one tRNA (with a specific anti-codon) for a particular amino acid; and 'wobble' base-pairing, i.e. permitting non-standard base-pairing at the 3rd anti-codon position. Lineage: Eukaryota; Metazoa; Chordata; Mammalia; Artiodactyla; Camelidae. The record is from Rfam by way of RNAcentral. RNAcentral also lists the same sequence under 1 other name.